AAUCUUCCGCAAUGGACGAAAGUCUGACGGAGCGAUGCCGCGUGAGUGAUGAAGGUCUUCGGAUCGUCAAACUCUGUUGUUAGGGAAGAACAAGUAUCGGAGUAAUAUGCCGGUACCUUGACGGUACCUAAUCAGAAAGCCCCGGCUAACUACGUGCCAGCAGCCGCGGUAAUACGUAGGGGGCAAGCGUUGUCCGGAAUUAUUGGGCGUAAAGGGCAGGAAGGCGGUUAUUUAAGUCUGAUGUGGAAUCUUGUGGCUUAACCACAAGCGGUCAUUGGAAUCUAGAAAACUUGAGUACAGAGGAGGAGAGGGGAAUUCCACGUGUAGCGGUGAAAUGCGUAGAGAUGUGGAGGAACACCAGUGGCGAAGGCGGCUCUCUGGUCUGUAACUGACGCUGAGGUGCGAAGGCGUGGGUAGCGAACA
This 423-nucleotide ribosomal RNA is filed under the name uncultured bacterium. Its description in RNAcentral is "partial 16S ribosomal RNA". It matches the Rfam family "Bacterial small subunit ribosomal RNA", at positions 360 to 774 of the family's 1533-position model. The record is from RNAcentral.